GAAAUAUUUCAAUAAGCUUCUAACUUAUAAUUAAGCAUGAUAUGUUUAUAUUUCU
Molecule: transfer RNA, 55 nt
Filed under: Alleculinae sp. ENSP01
Lineage: Eukaryota; Metazoa; Arthropoda; Insecta; Coleoptera; Tenebrionidae
Description: tRNA-Ser
Source: RNAcentral